ACUUGAUUCACGUUCCUAAACUAAUGAAUGUUAAAGGGAUUGGUAGAUUUGAAAGCAUGUGUAGGUCGAUUGUAAGAGUGGGAUUGAACUAUAAUAAGGCAUGGCUAACGUUUUUGAGUAGAGUUCGAUCAUAUCGCAUCCUAGAACUGCCAAAUUGGACAUUGAUUUUAUCUGAUUUAUCUAAUGCUUUGGUUCUGAAUCCCCACCUUCAAACCUCUCAUUAAGCUU
Molecule: small RNA, 228 nt
Filed under: Arabidopsis thaliana (thale cress)
Lineage: Eukaryota; Viridiplantae; Streptophyta; Magnoliopsida; Brassicales; Brassicaceae
Description: ATSL162250
Source: RNAcentral